AGCGCAUACGGUGGAUGCCUUGGCAGUCAGAGGCGAUGAAAGACGUGGUAGCCUGCGAAAAGCUUCGGGGAGUCGGCAAACAGACUGUGAUCCGGAGAUGUCUGAAUGGGGGAACCCAGCCAUCAUAAGAUGGUUAUCUUGUACUGAAUACAUAGGUGCAAGANNNNNNNNNNNNNNNNNNNNNNNNNNNNNNNNNNNNNNNNNNGGCCAUAGUGGGUGAUAGCCCUGUACGCGAAAAUCCCUUUGCAAUGAAAUCGAGUAGGACGGGGCACGAGAAACCUUGUCUGAAUAUGGGGGGACCAUCCUCCAAGGCUAAAUACUACUGACUGACCGAUAGUGAACCAGUACCGUGAGGGAAAGGCGAAAAGAACCGCGGAGAGCGGAGUGAAAUAGAUCCUGAAACCGUAUGCGUACAAGCAGUGGGAGCCCACUUUGUUGGGUGACUGCGUACCUUUUGUAUAAUGGGUCAGCGACUUAUUUUCAGUGGCGAGCUUAACCGAAUAGGGGAGGCGUAGCGAAAGCGAGUCUUAAUAGGGCGUCUAGUCGCUGGGAAUAGACCCGAAACCGGGCGAUCUAUCCAUGGGCAGGUUGAAGGUUGGGUAACACUAACUGGAGGACCGAACCGACUACCGUUGAAAAGUUAGCGGAUGACCUGUGGAUCGGAGUGAAAGGCUAAUCAAGCUCGGAGAUAGCUGGUUCUCCUCGAAAGCUAUUUAGGUAGCGCCUCAUGUAUCACUGUAGGGGGUAGAGCACUGUUUCGGCUAGGGGGUCAUCCCGACUUACCAAACCGAUGCAAACUCCGAAUACCUACAAGUGCCGAGCAUGGGAGACACACGGCGGGUGCUAACGUCCGUCGUGAAAAGGGAAACAACCCAGACCGUCAGCUAAGGUCCCAAAGUCAUGGUUAAGUGGGAAACGAUGUGGGAAGGCUUAGACAGCUAGGAGGUUGGCUUAGAAGCAGCCACCCUUUAAAGAAAGCGUAAUAGCUCACUAGUCGAGUCGGCCUGCGCGGAAGAUGUAACGGGGCUCAAACCAUGCACCGAAGCUACGGGUAUCAUCUUUUGAUGAUGCGGUAGAGGAGCGUUCUGUAAGCCUGUGAAGGUGAGUUGAGAAGCUUGCUGGAGGUAUCAGAAGUGCGAAUGCUGACAUGAGUAACGACAAUGGGUGUGAAAAACACCCACGCCGAAAGACCAAGGUUUCCUGCGCAACGUUAAUCGACGCAGGGUUAGUCGGUCCCUAAGGCGAGGCUGAAAAGCGUAGUCGAUGGAAAACAGGUUAAUAUUCCUGUACUUCUGGUUAUUGCGAUGGAGGGACGGAGAAGGCUAGGCCAGCCUGGCGUUGGUUGUCCAGGUUUAAGGUGGUAGGCUGAGAUCUUAGGUAAAUCCGGGAUCUCAAGGCCGAGAGCUGAUGACGAGUGUUCUUUAGAACACGAAGUGGUUGAUGCCAUGCUUCCAAGAAAAGCUUCUAAGCUUCAGGUAACCAGGAACCGUACCCCAAACCGACACAGGUGGUUGGGUAGAGAAUACCAAGGCGCUUGAGAGAACUCGGGUGAAGGAACUAGGCAAAAUGGCACCGUAACUUCGGGAGAAGGUGCGCCGGUGAGGGUGAAGCAUUUACUGCGUAAGCCCACGCCGGUCGAAGAUACCAGGCCGCUGCGACUGUUUAUUAAAAACACAGCACUCUGCAAACACGAAAGUGGACGUAUAGGGUGUGACGCCUGCCCGGUGCCGGAAGGUUAAUUGAUGGGGUUAGCGCAAGCGAAGCUCUUGAUCGAAGCCCCGGUAAACGGCGGCCGUAACUAUAACGGUCCUAAGGUAGCGAAAUUCCUUGUCGGGUAAGUUCCGACCUGCACGAAUGGCGUAACGAUGGCGGCGCUGUCUCCACCCGAGACUCAGUGAAAUUGAAAUCGCUGUGAAGAUGCAGUGUAUCCGCGGCUAGACGGAAAGACCCCGUGAACCUUUACUAUAGCUUUGCACUGGACUUUGAAUUUGCUUGUGUAGGAUAGGUGGGAGGCUUUGAAGCGUGGACGCCAGUCUGCGUGGAGCCAACCUUGAAAUACCACCCUGGCAACUUUGAGGUUCUAACUCAGGUCCGUUAUCCGGAUCGAGGACAGUGUAUGGUGGGUAGUUUGACUGGGGCGGUCUCCUCCUAAAGAGUAACGGAGGAGUACGAAGGUGCGCUCAGACCGGUCGGAAAUCGGUCGUAGAGUAUAAAGGCAAAAGCGCGCUUGACUGCGAGACAGACACGUCGAGCAGGUACGAAAGUAGGUCUUAGUGAUCCGGUGGUUCUGUAUGGAAGGGCCAUCGCUCAACGGAUAAAAGGUACUCCGGGGAUAACAGGCUGAUACCGCCCAAGAGUUCAUAUCGACGGCGGUGUUUGGCACCUCGAUGUCGGCUCAUCACAUCCUGGGGCUGAAGCCGGUCCCAAGGGUAUGGCUGUUCGCCAUUUAAAGUGGUACGCGAGCUGGGUUUAGAACGUCGUGAGACAGUUCGGUCCCUAUCUGCCGUGGACGUUUGAGAUUUGAGAGGGGCUGCUCCUAGUACGAGAGGACCGGAGUGGACGAACCUCUGGUGUUCCGGUUGUCACGCCAGUGGCAUUGCCGGGUAGCUAUGUUCGGAAAAGAUAACCGCUGAAAGCAUCUAAGCGGGAAACUUGCCUCAAGAUGAGAUCUCACUGGAACCUUGA
This 2685-nucleotide ribosomal RNA is filed under the name Pseudomonas coronafaciens pv. garcae. RNAcentral's name for it is "bacterial LSU rRNA". It matches the Rfam family "Bacterial large subunit ribosomal RNA". The record is from RNAcentral. Lineage: Bacteria; Pseudomonadati; Pseudomonadota; Gammaproteobacteria; Pseudomonadales; Pseudomonadaceae.